AAAGGAAUUGACGGGGACCCGCACAAGCGGUGGAGCAUGUGGUUUAAUUCGACGCAACGCGAAGAACCUUACCAGGGCUUGACAUCUUCCGCAAUCUUGGGAAACCAGGAGUUCAGACCUUCGGGUCUGACGGAAAGACAGGUGGUGCAUGGUUGUCGUCAGCUCGUGUCGUGAGAUGUUGGGUUAAGUCCCGCAACGAGCGCAACCCCUACUUUUAGUUGCCAUCAGGAGAGCUGGGCACUCUAAAGGAACUGCCGGUGACAAACCGGAGGAAGGUGGGGAUGACGUCAAAUCAUCAUGCCCUUUAUGUCCUGGGCUACACACGUGCUACAAUGGUCGGUACAGAGGGUUGCAAAGCCGCGAGGUGGAGCGAAUCCCAAAAAGCCGGUCUCAGUUCGGAUUGCAGUCUGCAACUCGACUGCAUGAAGUCGGAAUCGCUAGUAAUCGCGAGUCAGCAUAUCGCGGUGAAUACGUUCCCGGGUCUUGCACACACCGCCCGU
Molecule: ribosomal RNA, 500 nt
Filed under: uncultured bacterium
Lineage: Bacteria
Description: bacterial SSU rRNA
Rfam family: Bacterial small subunit ribosomal RNA
Source: RNAcentral